This 288-nucleotide ribosomal RNA is filed under the name uncultured bacterium. RNAcentral's name for it is "partial 16S ribosomal RNA". It matches the Rfam family "Bacterial small subunit ribosomal RNA", at positions 28 to 322 of the family's 1533-position model. The record is from RNAcentral.
GACGAACGCUGGCGGCGUGCUUAACACAUGCAAAGUCAGGGGGUGGGGCAACCCAGUCACCGGCGAACGGGUGCGUAACACGUGAGCGACCUGCCCUGGUGUGGGGGAUAGCCGGCCCAACGGGCCCGGGUAAUACCGCAUACGACUCUUUGGAGGCAUCUCCGGGGAGUGAAGCCUUUGGGGGCACCAGGAGGGGCUCGCGGCCUAUCAGCUAGUUGGCGAGGUAACGGCUCACCAAGCGANGACGGGUAGCUGGUCUGAGAGGAUGGCCAGCCACAUUGGGACUGA